AUUAGUUCAUUUGUUUUUUUAACAUUAUCAUUGAAUUUAUUAAUGAUCAAAGAAGACAAAUGUUAUGUUAUCACGUUUUAAAAAACAAUCAUAAGGUUGUUAAUUUUUAAACAUAAAAAUAUUGAAAAAAAAUCCAAUGAACAAUCGGAAUAAAUGGGAAAAUGUAAAUAGAUUGAAUAAGGCCGAAAUAGAAAUGUAGAUCGUACGUUACAUUAUAUUGUAAUAGUGGUUAUUGGGCCUUGCUGUAUUCGGUUAAUGAGCUCGUGUUAAAGUUAUGAAUUAAUCAAAAAAAUCGUACCAACAAAAAAAAAACAUUGAACAACUCGAUGGCGACAAUAGAAAGGGGGCUAGGGUUCGUCGAAGUCCGAAUUCACUCGACCAGAUUUAAACAGGUGAUUUGCCGAUAAAUCUCACCGUUUAAAUUAACUUCCAUAAUAUUUCUAUUUUUGCAACCUAUUUGGAAUCCUAAUUCUGUUUUUGUAUUUGAAAUAUGAUUUCUUCAAUAUAAACAUAAACAAAACCGGGAUCGGAAAUACUCAAAUCAAUUGGAGCUUGCCACAUUGAACUUUUAGAGACGGUGUCUUCCAUUGUUCAGAAGGUGAAUAAUGAUGGGAGUUACAUUAACAGAACUACUUACUACAACAGACCAAUGAAGCGUACAUUAUUACAGCUUCCCAAUAACCGAGUGCAUAAUGUAAUAAUAAAAGGGGAUUGACAGCAGCAGUUAAGAGCACGAAGACCCAUAGUACCUUUAUCAAACAGUCAACUAAGAGAGUAAAAGGU
Molecule: long non-coding RNA, 783 nt
Organism: Raphanus sativus (radish)
Lineage: Eukaryota; Viridiplantae; Streptophyta; Magnoliopsida; Brassicales; Brassicaceae
Exons: 3
Source: RefSeq, a predicted model, not a curated record